This is a small nucleolar RNA of Argentina anserina (silverweed cinquefoil), 85 nucleotides long. RefSeq annotates it as small nucleolar RNA U30. Lineage: Eukaryota; Viridiplantae; Streptophyta; Magnoliopsida; Rosales; Rosaceae. The transcript has a single exon. The record is from RefSeq and is a predicted model, not a curated record.
UGCGAUGAUGAUGAGAAAUAUAAUCUCGUUAAUCUGAUUUUAACAUGAGGACAAACCUUCUCAUCCAUUCAUACUCAUUCUGAGC